GAUGAACGCUGGCGGCGUGCCUAAUACAUGCAAGUCGAGCGAACAGAUGAGGAGCUUGCUCCUCUGACGUUAGCGGCGGACGGGUGAGUAACACGUGGAUAACCUACCUAUAAGACUGGGAUAACUUCGGGAAACCGGAGCUAAUACCGGAUAAUAUAUUGAACUGCAUGGUUCACUAGUGAAAGACGGUUUUGCUGUCACUUAUAGAUGGAUCCGCGCCGCAUUAGCUAGUUGGUAAGGUAACGGCUUACCAAGGCAACGAUGCGUAGCCGACCUGAGAGGGUGAUCGGCCACACGGGAACUGAGACACGGUCCAGACUCCUACGGGAGGCAGCAGUAGGGAAUCUUCCGCAAUGGGCGAAUGCCUGACGUAGCAACGCCGCGUGAGUGAUGAAGGUCUUCUGAUCGUAAAACUCUGUUAUUAGGGAAGUUCAAAUGUGUAAGUACCUAUGCACGUCUUGACGGUACCUAAUCAGAAAGCCACGGCUAACUACGUG
RNAcentral lists this ribosomal RNA (497 nucleotides) under uncultured bacterium. Its description in RNAcentral is "partial 16S ribosomal RNA". It matches the Rfam family "Bacterial small subunit ribosomal RNA", at positions 28 to 507 of the family's 1533-position model. The record is from RNAcentral.